UACAGAGGGUGCAAGCGUUAAUCGGAAUUACUGGGCGUAAAGCGUGCGUAGUCGGUUAUCUAAGUCAGGUGUGAAAUCCCCGGGCUCAACCUGGGAAUUGCGAUGGAGACUGCAAGGCUAGAGUUUGGCAGAGGGGGGUAGAAUUCCACGUGUAGCAGUGAAAUGCGUAGAGAUGUGGAGGAACACCGAUGGCGAAGGCAGCCCCCUGGGUCAAAACUGACGCUCAUGCACGAAAGCGUGGGGAGCAAACAGG
RNAcentral lists this ribosomal RNA (253 nucleotides) under uncultured bacterium. RNAcentral describes it as "partial 16S ribosomal RNA". It matches the Rfam family "Bacterial small subunit ribosomal RNA", at positions 524 to 776 of the family's 1533-position model. The record is from RNAcentral.